RNAcentral lists this transfer RNA (75 nucleotides) under Desulfobacterales bacterium S7086C20. RNAcentral's name for it is "tRNA-Thr". It matches the Rfam family "tRNA". Rfam says of the family: Transfer RNA (tRNA) molecules are approximately 80 nucleotides in length. Their secondary structure includes four short double-helical elements and three loops (D, anti-codon, and T loops). Further hydrogen bonds mediate the characteristic L-shaped molecular structure. tRNAs have two regions of fundamental functional importance: the anti-codon, which is responsible for specific mRNA codon recognition, and the 3' end, to which the tRNAs corresponding amino acid is attached (by aminoacyl-tRNA synthetases). tRNAs cope with the degeneracy of the genetic code in two manners: having more than one tRNA (with a specific anti-codon) for a particular amino acid; and 'wobble' base-pairing, i.e. permitting non-standard base-pairing at the 3rd anti-codon position. Lineage: Bacteria; Pseudomonadati; Thermodesulfobacteriota; Desulfobacteria; Desulfobacterales. The record is from RNAcentral. RNAcentral also lists the same sequence under 3 other names.
GCCAGCGUAGCUCAGGGGUAGAGCAACUGAUUCGUAAUCAGUAGGUCGCGGGUUCGAAUCCCAUCGCUGGCUCCA